Molecule: ribosomal RNA, 253 nt
Filed under: uncultured bacterium
Lineage: Bacteria
Description: partial 16S ribosomal RNA
Rfam family: Bacterial small subunit ribosomal RNA
Source: RNAcentral
UACGUAGGUGACAAGCGUUGUCCGGAUUUACUGGGCGUAAAGAGCGUGUAGGCGGCCAGAUAGGUCAGCUGUGAAAACUCGAGGCUCAACCUCGAGACGUCGGUUGAAACCAUCUGGCUAGAGUCCGGAAGAGGAGUGUGGAAUUCCCGGUGUAGCGGUGAAAUGCGCAGAUAUCGGGAAGAACACCCGUGGCGAAGGCGGCACUCUGGGACGGUACUGACGCUGAGACGCGAAAGCGUGGGGAGCGAACAGG